GUGGAGGUGGCACUACAGACUAGGGUUUCGGUGGGAGCUCAGUCACAAUUGUAAGCUUGCAGUGUGUUGCAAAGCAAACAUUCUACAAGUUAAAACACGAGUGGCUUCAGGAACAUGAAGAAACUAUGGAAUCAUUGCCAUACCGUUUCAUGGUGAAGUAUAAAGAAGGCA
Molecule: long non-coding RNA, 171 nt
Organism: Stegostoma tigrinum
Lineage: Eukaryota; Metazoa; Chordata; Chondrichthyes; Orectolobiformes; Stegostomatidae
Exons: 3
Source: RefSeq, a predicted model, not a curated record